This 730-nucleotide ribosomal RNA is filed under the name bacterium SCSIO13141. RNAcentral describes it as "bacterial SSU rRNA". It matches the Rfam family "Bacterial small subunit ribosomal RNA", at positions 83 to 826 of the family's 1533-position model. The record is from RNAcentral.
GGCCGGGGAUUAGUGGCGAACGGGUGAGUAACACGUGGGCAAUCUGCCCUGCACUCUGGGACAAGCCCUGGAAACGGGGUCUAAUACCGGAUAUGACCACCGGCCGCAUGGUCUGGUGGUGGAAAGCUCCGGCGGUGCAGGAUGAGCCCGCGGCCUAUCAGCUUGUUGGUGGGGUGAUGGCCUACCAAGGCGACGACGGGUAGCCGGCCUGAGAGGGCGACCGGCCACACUGGGACUGAGACACGGCCCAGACUCCUACGGGAGGCAGCAGUGGGGAAUAUUGCACAAUGGGCGCAAGCCUGAUGCAGCGACGCCGCGUGAGGGAUGACGGCCUUCGGGUUGUAAACCUCUUUCAGCAGGGAAGAAGCGCGAGUGACGGUACCUGCAGAAGAAGCACCGGCUAACUACGUGCCAGCAGCCGCGGUAAUACGUAGGGUGCGAGCGUUGUCCGGAAUUAUUGGGCGUAAAGAGCUCGUAGGCGGCCUGUCGCGUCGGAUGUGAAAGCCCGGGGCUUAACCCCGGGUCUGCAUUCGAUACGGGCAGGCUAGAGUUCGGCAGGGGAGAUUGGAAUUCCUGGUGUAGCGGUGAAAUGCGCAGAUAUCAGGAGGAACACCGGUGGCGAAGGCGGAUCUCUGGGCCGAUACUGACGCUGAGGAGCGAAAGCGUGGGGAGCGAACAGGAUUAGAUACCCUGGUAGUCCACGCCGUAAACGUUGGGCACUAGGUGUGGG